AUUGAACGCUGGCGGCAGGUCUAACACAUGCAAGUCGAACGGUAACAGGAAGAAGCUUGCUUCUUUGCUGACGAGUGGCGGACGGGUGAGUAAUGUCUGGGAAACUGCCUGAUGGAGGGGGAUAACUACUGGAAACGGUAGCUAAUACCGCAUAACGUCGCAAGACCAAAGAGGGGGACCUUCGGGCCUCUUGCCAUCGGAUGUGCCCAGAUGGGAUUAGCUAGUAGGUGGGGUAACGGCUCACCUAGGCGACGAUCCCUAGCUGGUCUGAGAGGAUGACCAGCCACACUGGAACUGAGACACGGUCCAGACUCCUACGGGAGGCAGCAGUGAGGAAUAUUGCACAAUGGGCGCAAGCCUGAUGCAGCCAUGCCGCGUGUAUGAAGAAGGCCUUCGGGUUGUAAAGUACUUUCAGCGGGGAGGAAGGGAGUAAAGUUAAUACCUUUGCUCAUUGACGUUACCCGCAGAAGAAGCACCGGCUAACUCCGUG
This 490-nucleotide ribosomal RNA is filed under the name uncultured bacterium. RNAcentral's name for it is "partial 16S ribosomal RNA". It matches the Rfam family "Bacterial small subunit ribosomal RNA", at positions 30 to 507 of the family's 1533-position model. The record is from RNAcentral.